Molecule: ribosomal RNA, 485 nt
Filed under: uncultured bacterium
Lineage: Bacteria
Description: partial 16S ribosomal RNA
Rfam family: Bacterial small subunit ribosomal RNA
Source: RNAcentral
AUUGAACGCUGGCGGCACGCCUAACACAUGCAAGUCGAACGAGAACGGAAUAUAGCUUGCUAUAUUUGUCAGCUAAGUGGCGCACGGGUGAGUAAUGUAUAGAUAACCUGCCCUUAAGAAAGGAAUAACAGUUGGAAACGACUGCUAAUGCCCUAUAUGCCUUUAAUACAUAAGUAUGCAAGGGAAACGCUUUAGUGCUUAAGGAUGGGUCUGUAUGGUAUCAGCUUGUUGGUGAGGUAAUGGCUCACCAAGGCUAUGACGCCUAACUGGUUUGAGAGGAUGAUCAGUCACACUGGAACUGAGACACGGUCCAGACUCCUACGGGAGGCAGCAGUGGGGAAUAUUGCACAAUGGACGAAAGUCUGAUGCAGCAACGCCGCGUGGAGGAUGACACAUUUCGGUGCGUAAACUCCUUUUAUAUAGGAAGAUAAUGACGGUACUAUAUGAAUAAGCACCGGCUAACUCCGUGCCAGCCGCCGCGGUAA